RNAcentral lists this long non-coding RNA (319 nucleotides) under Gossypium raimondii (Peruvian cotton). RNAcentral describes it as "long non-coding RNA (GRAI_LNC006400)". The record is from RNAcentral. Lineage: Eukaryota; Viridiplantae; Streptophyta; Magnoliopsida; Malvales; Malvaceae.
AAUUAUUGCCCGGGCCCAACUAUACUCACUAAAACUGACCCAAAGGCCAAAUUACAACCUAACCCAAUUACAAGGCCCAAUUGGCCUAAGAUAACAGAAGCCCUAAGCAGCAGGUAGCCUCAGCGCCGCACGUUCCCACGUUGCAGCAACCGUCCAUCACCCACGUCGUUUCACCCACGAUCAGCAACUCCGCAUAACGCCGAUUCCACCUGCAAUAAAUCAAAAAACAGAGGGAUUGAUCAAAGGGGGCAGUAGAGGAAAAAAGAAAAAAAAGAAAAAUGGUUUUUGUAAAUUUUGGGUACGUCUAAAGCGAUUUUUG